RNAcentral lists this ribosomal RNA (2113 nucleotides) under Escherichia coli. RNAcentral's name for it is "bacterial LSU rRNA". It matches the Rfam family "Bacterial large subunit ribosomal RNA", at positions 1 to 2141 of the family's 2925-position model. The record is from RNAcentral. Lineage: Bacteria; Pseudomonadati; Pseudomonadota; Gammaproteobacteria; Enterobacterales; Enterobacteriaceae.
UUAAGCGACUAAGCGUACACGGUGGAUGCCCUGGCAGUCAGAGGCGAUGAAGGACGUGCUAAUCUGCGAUAAGCGUCGGUAAGGUGAUAUGAACCGUUAUAACCGGCGAUUUCCGAAUGGGGAAACCCAGUGUGAUUCGUCACACUAUCAUUAACUGAAUCCAUAGGUUAAUGAGGCGAACCGGGGGAACUGAAACAUCUAAGUACCCCGAGGAAAAGAAAUCAACCGAGAUUCCCCCAGUAGCGGCGAGCGAACGGGGAGCAGCCCAGAGCCUGAAUCAGUGUGUGUGUUAGUGGAAGCGUCUGGAAAGGCGCGCGAUACAGGGUGACAGCCCCGUACACAAAAAUGCACAUACUGUGAGCUCGAUGAGUAGGGCGGGACACGUGGUAUCCUGUCUGAAUAUGGGGGGACCAUCCUCCAAGGCUAAAUACUCCUGACUGACCGAUAGUGAACCAGUACCGUGAGGGAAAGGCGAAAAGAACCCCGGCGAGGGGAGUGAAAAAGAACCUGAAACCGUGUACGUACAAGCAGUGGGAGCACGCUUAGGCGUGUGACUGCGUACCUUUUGUAUAAUGGGUCAGCGACUUAUAUUCUGUAGCAAGGUUAACCGAAUAGGGGAGCCGAAGGGAAACCGAGUCUUAACUGGGCGUUAAGUUGCAGGGUAUAGACCCGAAACCCGGUGAUCUAGCCAUGGGCAGGUUGAAGGUUGGGUAACACUAACUGGAGGACCGAACCGACUAAUGUUGAAAAAUUAGCGGAUGACUUGUGGCUGGGGGUGAAAGGCCAAUCAAACCGGGAGAUAGCUGGUUCUCCCCGAAAGCUAUUUAGGUAGCGCCUCGUGAAUUCAUCUCCGGGGGUAGAGCACUGUUUCGGCAAGGGGGUCAUCCCGACUUACCAACCCGAUGCAAACUGCGAAUACCGGAGAAUGUUAUCACGGGAGACACACGGCGGGUGCUAACGUCCGUCGUGAAGAGGGAAACAACCCAGACCGCCAGCUAAGGUCCCAAAGUCAUGGUUAAGUGGGAAACGAUGUGGGAAGGCCCAGACAGCCAGGAUGUUGGCUUAGAAGCAGCCAUCAUUUAAAGAAAGCGUAAUAGCUCACUGGUCGAGUCGGCCUGCGCGGAAGAUGUAACGGGGCUAAACCAUGCACCGAAGCUGCGGCAGCGACGCUUAUGCGUUGUUGGGUAGGGGAGCGUUCUGUAAGCCUGUGAAGGUGUGCUGUGAGGCAUGCUGGAGGUAUCAGAAGUGCGAAUGCUGACAUAAGUAACGAUAAAGCGGGUGAAAAGCCCGCUCGCCGGAAGACCAAGGGUUCCUGUCCAACGUUAAUCGGGGCAGGGUGAGUCGACCCCUAAGGCGAGGCCGAAAGGCGUAGUCGAUGGGAAACAGGUUAAUAUUCCUGUACUUGGUGUUACUGCGAAGGGGGGACGGAGAAGGCUAUGUUGGCCGGGCGACGGUUGUCCCGGUUUAAGCGUGUAGGCUGGUUUUCCAGGCAAAUCCGGAAAAUCAAGGCUGAGGCGUGAUGACGAGGCACUACGGUGCUGAAGCAACAAAUGCCCUGCUUCCAGGAAAAGCCUCUAAGCAUCAGGUAACAUCAAAUCGUACCCCAAACCGACACAGGUGGUCAGGUAGAGAAUACCAAGGCGCUUGAGAGAACUCGGGUGAAGGAACUAGGCAAAAUGGUGCCGUAACUUCGGGAGAAGGCACGCUGAUAUGUAGGUGAAGCGACUUGCUCGUGGAGCUGAAAUCAGUCGAAGAUACCAGCUGGCUGCAACUGUUUAUUAAAAACACAGCACUGUGCAAACACGAAAGUGGACGUAUACGGUGUGACGCCUGCCCGGUGCCGGAAGGUUAAUUGAUGGGGUCAGCGCAAGCGAAGCUCUUGAUCGAAGCCCCGGUAAACGGCGGCCGUAACUAUAACGGUCCUAAGGUAGCGAAAUUCCUUGUCGGGUAAGUUCCGACCUGCACGAAUGGCGUAAUGAUGGCCAGGCUGUCUCCACCCGAGACUCAGUGAAAUUGAACUCGCUGUGAAGAUGCAGUGUACCCGCGGCAAGACGGAAAGACCCCGUGAACCUUUACUAUAGCUUGACACUGAACAUUGAGCCUUGAUGUGUAG